UAGCGGUGACAUGCGUAGAGAUUAGGAAGAACACCAGUGGCGAAGGCGCUCUACUGCGCAUAUACUGACACUGAGGGACGAAAGCUAGGGGAGCGAAAGGGAUUAGAUACCCCUGUAGUCCUAGCGGUAAACGAUGGAUACUAGGCGUAGUGCUGUUAGAAGGACUGUGCCGAAGCUAACGCGUUAAGUAUCCCGCCUGGGGAGUACGCACGCAAGUGUGAAACUCAAAGGAAUUGACGGGGACCCGCACAAGCGGUGGAGUAUGUGGUUUAAUUCGAUGCAACGCGAAGAACCUUACCAAGGCUUGACAUCCUGCGAAUCUUGGAGAAAUCUGAGAGUGCCUAAGGGAACGCAGAGACAGGUGGUGCAUGGCUGUCGUCAGCUCGUGUCGUGAGAUGUUGGGUUAAGUCCCGCAACGAGCGCAACCCUCGUCCUUAGUUGCCAGCAUUAAGUUGGGGACUCUAGGGAGACCGCCGGGGAGAACUCGGAGGAAGGUGGGGAUGACGUCAAGUCAGCAUGCCCCUUACGUCUUGGGCUACACACGUACUACAAUGGUUGGGACAAAGGGGAGCGAAACCGCGAGGUGGAGCGAAUCUCAUCAAACCCAGCCACAGUUCAGAUUGCAGGCUGAAACUCGCCUGCAUGAAGGAGGAAUCGCUAGUAAUCGCAGGUCAGCAUACUGCGGUGAAUCCGUUCCCGGGUCUUGUACACACCGCCCGUCACACCAUGGAAGUUGGUCACGCCCGAAGUCGUUAUUCUAACCCAAGUGGAAGGAGACGCCGAAGGUGGGACUAGUGACUGGGGUGAAGUCGUAACAAGGUAGCCGUACCGGAAGGUGUGGCUGGAUCACCUCCUUUAAGGGAGACUUCGAGAAGAAGUCAGCAAGGAAAUGGGGAGGGCUAGAAAAAUAAAGAAAGAGGUGUUGGGGCUAUUAGCUCAGGUGGUUAG
Molecule: unclassified non-coding RNA, 948 nt
Filed under: Cyanobacterium aponinum 0TAC 3
Lineage: Bacteria; Bacillati; Cyanobacteriota; Cyanophyceae; Chroococcales; Geminocystaceae
Description: bacterial SSU rRNA
Rfam family: Bacterial small subunit ribosomal RNA
Source: RNAcentral